UUGACCUCGAAUCAGGUAGGAAUACCCGCUGAACUUAAGCAUAUCAAUAACCGGGAGGAAUUAU
RNAcentral lists this ribosomal RNA (64 nucleotides) under Fusarium solani. RNAcentral describes it as "partial 28S ribosomal RNA". The record is from RNAcentral. Lineage: Eukaryota; Fungi; Ascomycota; Sordariomycetes; Hypocreales; Nectriaceae.